RNAcentral lists this ribosomal RNA (255 nucleotides) under uncultured bacterium. RNAcentral's name for it is "partial 16S ribosomal RNA". It matches the Rfam family "Bacterial small subunit ribosomal RNA", at positions 526 to 779 of the family's 1533-position model. The record is from RNAcentral.
CGUAGGGUGCGAGCGUUGUCCGGAAUUAUUGGGCGUAAAGAGCUCGUAGGCGGUGUGUCGCGUCGGCCGUGAAAACCUGGGGCUUAACUCUGGGCGUGCGGUCGAUACGGGCAUCACUAGAGUUCGGCAGGGGAGACUGGAAUUCCUGGUGUAGCGGUGAAAUGCGCAGAUAUCAGGAGGAACACCGGUGGCGAAGGCGGGUCUCUGGGCCGAUACUGACGCUGAGGAGCGAAAGCAUGGGUAGCGAACAGGAUU